RNAcentral lists this ribosomal RNA (468 nucleotides) under uncultured bacterium. Its description in RNAcentral is "partial 16S ribosomal RNA". It matches the Rfam family "Bacterial small subunit ribosomal RNA", at positions 28 to 507 of the family's 1533-position model. The record is from RNAcentral.
GACGAACGCUGGCGGCGUGCUUAACACAUGCAAGUCGAACGGAAAGGCCCUGCUUUUGUGGGGUGCUCGAGUGGCGAACGGGUGAGUAACACGUGAGUAACCUGCCCUUGACUUUGGGAUAACUUCAGGAAACUGGGGCUAAUACCGGAUAGGAGCUCCUGCUGCGUGGUGGGGGUUGGAAAGUUUCGGCGGUUGGGGAUGGACUCGCGGCUUAUCAGCUUGUUGGUGGGGUAGUGGCUUACCAAGGCUUUGACGGGUAGCCGGCCUGAGAGGGUGACCGGCGACAUUGGGACUGAGAUACGGCCCAGACUCCUACGGGAGGCAGCAGUGGGGAAUAUUGCACAAUGGGAGGAAGCCUGAUGCAGCAACGCCGCGUGCGGGAUGACGGCCUUCGGGUUGUAAACCGCUUUCGCCUGUGACGAAGCGUGAGUGACGGUAAUGGGUAAAGAAGCACCGGCUAACUACGUG